GUUCUGGUCGGUAACCUAGAACGCGAGUAAUAAGAGGAG
RNAcentral lists this non-coding RNA (39 nucleotides) under unclassified sequences. RNAcentral's name for it is "L31-Coriobacteria ribosomal protein leader". It matches the Rfam family "L31-Coriobacteria ribosomal protein leader". The record is from RNAcentral.